CUGUGUUUGGCUGUUGGCUGUUGGCAACGGAGGAGACUCCACUUUGCGUGGCAGCCGAUCUGCAGGUUGAACGUGGAAACUUGCAGUACAAUCAAAUCUACUGCAAGAGGUCAAAGCAGUGGGUGGUGAAGAAAGUGUACAAGAGGCUUGUCCACCUGGCUGUGGAGUGCAGAAAGGACCAGACGGUUGUCUACAAGGAGCCAGUCACAGCCUCCAAAACCCAGCAUCCCUGCCAACAUCACCACAGAACCAAAUCCUGCUAAACUAACUGCCAAUACACAACACAAGAACCAGCUGAAGACCGUUCUGCAACCUGCCUGGAACAUUCAAACAACACAACAUCCACAUUCAGUUAGACUGAUGUAGUACAAUAUAGAAUGCCGAGUAUGCUCACAACUGUAUUGUGGUAUAGAUAUUUCUAGCUGUUGUACAUAUGUAUACAAUGGUGUUUUAUAUCAUCUUGUGUACAGACAAGUGACUAAAUGAUUCCAGCUACAUCAGAAAGCAAAGAAGUGUUGAAUUCAACAUCUUGAUCAAUUCAUUGUGAUAUUGAUGAAAUGUAUUUGAAUAAACUAGCUUUAAACUA
This is a long non-coding RNA of Salvelinus fontinalis (brook trout), 586 nucleotides long. RefSeq lists it as uncharacterized. The record is from RefSeq and is a predicted model, not a curated record. The transcript has 2 exons. NCBI's taxonomy places the organism in Eukaryota, Metazoa, Chordata, Actinopteri, Salmoniformes, Salmonidae.